AUACAGAGGGUGCGAGCGUUAAUCGGAAUUACUGGGCGUAAAGCGCGCGUAGGCGGCUACUUAAGUCAGAUGUGAAAUCCCCAGGCUCAACCUGGGAACUGCAUCUGAUACUGGGUAGCUAGAGUUUAGGAGAGGGAAGUAGAAUUUCAGGUGUAGCGGUGAAAUGCAUAGAGAUCUGAAGGAAUACCAGUGGCGAAGGCGGCUUCCUGGCCUAAAACUGACGCUGAGGUGCGAAAGCGUGGGUAGCAAACGGGAUUAGAAACCCCGGUAGUCC
RNAcentral lists this ribosomal RNA (274 nucleotides) under uncultured bacterium. RNAcentral's name for it is "partial 16S ribosomal RNA". It matches the Rfam family "Bacterial small subunit ribosomal RNA", at positions 523 to 796 of the family's 1533-position model. The record is from RNAcentral.